This 300-nucleotide ribosomal RNA is filed under the name uncultured bacterium. RNAcentral's name for it is "bacterial SSU rRNA". It matches the Rfam family "Bacterial small subunit ribosomal RNA", at positions 30 to 313 of the family's 1533-position model. The record is from RNAcentral.
AGUGAGCGCUGGCGGCAGGCCUAACACAUGCAAGUCGAGCGGCAGCGGGUUCCCGCGAGGGGAUGCCGGCGAGCGGCGGACGGGUGAGGAACACAUCGGAAUCUGCCUGGUUGUGGGGGAUAACGUAGGGAAACUUACGCUAAUACCGCAUGCGACCCUGAGUCGACGGACUGGGGGUGAAAGUGAGGGACCUUCGGGCCUCACGCGACCAGAUGAGCCGAUGUCGGAUAGCUAGUUGGCGGGGUAACGGCCCGCCAAGGCGACGAUCCGUAGCUGGUCUGAGAGGAUGAUCAGCCACAC